RNAcentral lists this long non-coding RNA (3297 nucleotides) under Anolis carolinensis (green anole). RNAcentral's name for it is "lncRNA (ENSACAG00000040067.1)". Lineage: Eukaryota; Metazoa; Chordata; Lepidosauria; Squamata; Anolidae. The record is from RNAcentral.
UAUGGUUGGGGGUCACCACAACAUGAGGAACUGCAUUAGGAAGGUUGAGAAUCACUGAGCUAGGCAUAAGUUGUGUUUCACUACGGGUGCAUCUACACUGUAAAAGUAUAUGCUGAUUGAUACCACUUUAACUGCCAUGGCUCAGUACUAUGGAAUCAUGGGAGUUAUCGUAUUUCAUUGUGUUUAGCUUUCUCUGUCAAAGGGUGCUAAUGCCUCACCAAACUACAAAUUCCAGAAUUCCAUGACAUUGAGCAACAACAGUUAAAGUAGUGUCAAAAGGCAUCAAUAUUGCCAGGGAGAUGCACCCCCAACCUGGCUCAACUAUCUUACAAGGGUGUUUUGAUGGGAAAAAGCCAUAUGCCACCAGAAGAUCACUGGAGGGAAGGAUAUUAGAGGCAAAGAUGAAGUACUUGGGCCAAAUAAUGAGAAGACAGGAAAGCAUGGGAAAGAUCAUGAUGCUGGGGAAAAAGGAAGGAAAAAGGAAGAGAGGCCGACCAAGGGCAAGAUGGAUGGUAUUCUUGAAGUGACUGGCUUGGCCUUGAAGGAGCUGGGGGUGGCAAUGGCCAACAGGAAGCUCUGGCGUGGGUUGAUCCAUGAAGUCACAGUCGGAAGCGACUGAACGAAUAAACAACAACAUGGCACAUUAUGUUUCUAUAGGACAAGAUAUUCUAGGAACCUUUACCUAGGUAAUAUGGCUACUAUUAAUACUACUGUAGCAUGAUAUUUAACUCCUGAAGUAUUGUUAAUUUAAAAAUAAUAACUCAUAGUUUGAUGCUUCCAUUACUACUAGAAUAACAUUAAAUGCGCUGCCAUUCCCAAUUUUACUUUAUUUAGAUUUAACCUUGUAGCAGGAAAAACAGACUAAACAGUUCAGCUUUUGCAACUUCAGAUUUAAAAGCAGUAGGAGUAAUAAAAAAGCUGUUGAGAGCUUUUUUUACAUGAAUCAAAGGCUAGAAGUCAACUUGGAAUUGUGGAAACGAUAGAAAUGGCAAGGAUAGCAUCUUACCCCCCCAAUAAGGGCUUGCUGCUGCCCAGAACUUGAAAAUGUUGCUCUUGUGCUAGCUGGACAGUUCUGGGAGUAGGAGUCCAAAACAGCUAACUUUUCCAUGCUCAGCUGAAAGUAGCAAGAGUUGGCUGGUCUGCAAGGGCAAAACUGAACAUGGCCAGCCCCAGGGAACUGCCUUGGGCCUCCUCCAGACUCAGUGGAUAUUUAGCAUUCAGCCCAACCUCAAAGCAGUUGAAAUAUUAACUGUAUGCCACAGGCCAGAUGCACAGUGCCCGGGGGUAUCAAGCACAGAACUCUCUCUUUAAAUGGCUGAGUAAAUCACUGCCCCAUUCAUGGUAUUAUUCUGAGCUUCCCUAUACACCCCUCAUCUAUAUGCGCCUAUGUGUCAAGGAAGGUCUAACCUCUCAUCACAUGUGGAAACUCCUUUUGUGCACUUCCUUUGGUUGUCAGUGAAGCCGCAAAAAUAAAAGAUGCAGAUCUCCAGGUCUUCAGAUCAGUUUGUUUCAGAACGGUAAUCCACAGAAUCAGAAUUUGGGCAGCAAAAGCAACUAGAGAUCUGGCUGGCAAAGGUGAGAUUAAGCAGUUGUUUUUCAGGAUUAUUGUUCCAUUGCCUCAAGAAUCACAGAACUGGUGCAGUCUUAUGGGAGAUAAAGACCUCAGCUGAUUGACUGAAGUGAUAUAGGCCAGCAGGAGGGAAAUCCCAAUAUACAGUCCUAUCCAGCAAAGUGUAAUAUCCUCGGGGUAUUUAGGACCCCUAUGGAAGCUCUGUUUAAAGUCUGACACUGGAUAAACAAUAGCUUUAUGUGUACAAAUGAGGCCCACAUUUGCAAAGCAGUGAAGGUCAUUUCUUCCUGCGAUUGCCUUAAUAAAACUGCAUAAAACCCAAGUGUUUAGCAAGAUACUUUACAAGGAACGUUGAUCUUGUAAAUGCCAUAUUAAACAUAUUUACUUUUACCUUUCUCUUGUAGUGAUAGAAAAUAAGCUGUUAUACGAGUGAGAUCAUAGAUUAAACUACCUGCAUGCUGGUAUGCUGGGAUCUAAAUUCAUGUACCAGUAUAUAGAUUGGUUUUCCCUACAUGCUUCACUAUCACUCCCCAUCUGUGAUUCCAGGGGUCACUUCCAAACAUGAAGAUGUAUAGAGGCUACCUUAUUUAUCUAUUUACUCAUAUCCAGACUUAUAUCACAAGAUCUCAGGGAAGCACAAAAUAAAAUCAAUUUGAAAGAAAUUAGAAAAAUGUAAAACAAGAAAUAAUGUAUAAGUCUAUAAGCAUAUUAAACAAUUUAAACCAUGUAAAAUGAACUAAAACAAAACCCUGUACAAAAAUCUAGACCCGAAGGCUUUGAUAAAAAGCCACGUUUUAACUUGAUGGCAGAAUGAAGCCAACAUUGGCAUGAAUUGGGCCUCCAAAGGAAGGGCACUGUACAAAUUGGGGCACCACUGCAAAAGGGACUUUCCCCAUAUCCUCCCACAGCCUGUAAUACCCACUAGCAGGGGCUCAAAGAUAUAGCAAGGAGGAAGAAGAAUGCUUUUGGACCGCGGGGCAGUAGGGUCUUCUCUAAAUAGAGGAUUUAUAGUCUAAAUUGACCUUGAAUCUUCAAUUAAGUCAGUGGUUCUCAACCUGUAGGUCCCCAGGUGUUUUGGCCUACCGGGGGGGGGGGGAUUGCCAUUACUUUCCUGUGGUUGAGAGAGUGUGACUUGCCAAGGUAAUCCAGUGGCCUACGAUACCCAAGCAGGAAUUCAAAUCCUAGUCCCCCAGAGUCCUAGCUCAGAUUUCAAAUCACUAUACCCUGCUGACUCUCUACAGGGCACAUUGUAGUUGUCUAAUUAGGAAAUUACAAGAAAAAACUGCAGUAGAUUGUCCCUUGUUCAGGGAAGACUGCAGUUAGUGGGCUAGUCAAACCUGGACACAGACCUCUGAGCCACAGGGUCCACUUGGGACCUCCAGUAACAAAGAAGGAUCCAGGAAUAUUCCCUAACAACACAUUUGCUUUCUCUGGGGAAAGCAAUCCCUUCCAGGACAAGCUUCUUAUGCAAUGUCUGGGAAUAACCGUUCCACAGAACCCCUGCCUUACUAGAAUUCAGCUUCAUGUUACCAGCCAGCCCAUUACAGCAGCCAGUCCUAGCUGAUUCCACAUAGAAGCAGAAGUAUAGCUAAGUAUGCUAGCAUACUGAUCACUCCCAACUUCUAAUGACACUAUUCUGCGGUUUGAUAUCAAUAUGAAGCAGUAUGGUGAAUUGAAUGGAACCGGCAAGCACCAUACAGCUUAUAUUUCUGGAACUGAACAAAAGU